Molecule: long non-coding RNA, 351 nt
Organism: Pseudophryne corroboree (corroboree frog)
Lineage: Eukaryota; Metazoa; Chordata; Amphibia; Anura; Myobatrachidae
Exons: 3
Source: RefSeq, a predicted model, not a curated record
GUUGUUACCACUGUUUGCAUGUGUGAGAAGGCAUUGAAUAAGGGCAUUAUUUGGAAGGCAUGCUGGUCCUUGUAGUGCUAAUGGGAGAUCUUAGGGAUGGCUCUCAGGGGGGAUGUACCAGCAGUCCGGAUGCUGGCGGUCAUGUGACCAACUCCAGAAUCCCGACACCACUCGGAAUCCCAGCGCCAGAACACCAACUGCCAACAUCCCGAAGGGAUGAACAAUGAUGGAGACACUUUCAAGUACCUAAGAGGAAAAUUUCCACUUCUGAAUGAUGCUAAAGAUAAGGAAGGAAUAAUUUUUGGUCUACAAAUGUGUCAAUUUGUUAAGGAUGAAAACUUCACCCAAGAC